Molecule: ribosomal RNA, 92 nt
Filed under: Escherichia coli
Lineage: Bacteria; Pseudomonadati; Pseudomonadota; Gammaproteobacteria; Enterobacterales; Enterobacteriaceae
Description: partial 16S ribosomal RNA
Rfam family: Bacterial small subunit ribosomal RNA
Source: RNAcentral
AAAUUGAAGAGUUUGAUCAUGGCUCAGAUUGAACGCUGGCGGCAGGCUUAACACAUGCAAGUCGAACGGUAACAGGAAGAAGCUUGCUUCUU